This is a non-coding RNA of Malus domestica (apple), 618 nucleotides long. The record is from RefSeq and is a predicted model, not a curated record. Lineage: Eukaryota; Viridiplantae; Streptophyta; Magnoliopsida; Rosales; Rosaceae.
CUCUCUCUGUCUAUCUCUGAGUUGCCGUAGCAUCGACCACCCAAGAAAACCGUACGUCUCCAGGUGCCUCACUCCGCAUUCAAAUGUGAAGCAUUUCUAGGGUUUCAUUUCAGCAGGGCGUCUUCGGAGUGUUGCAAUUUUCAAAAAGCCCGUCGCCGAUUGAUUCAAUCCGUAGCAGAUUUUGGCGCGAAGAAGCUCCAUUGAUCCCGAAUACACAGAUGUGUUGGAGCAAUGAAUAGGGCACCUCAUAUGAGGCAAGAUCGUCCCAAUCUGGGUCAAGAUUUCUGUGCCCAGACGCCUGUUAAAGCUAAUUUGUUGGAACAUGUCAAUGCACUUGAUAAUUUCUCGUGCCCGCAUAGUGUUCUGAGCUCAAAUUUUAUUUUCUCCUUACCAACACGAAAGCCUCUUGCCGAAGAGGCAAUGGUUUUCGGGUAUGUCGCGGUUAUAAGUGUUUUGUUUUCAUUUUUUGUUUGUUUGUUUUUUUUUUUUUGUACUGUUAUUUCAUUUUAUCUUGAGGAUUACUUAUUAUUUGGUGACAACUUGACAUCAGUUUUUGUAUUUGGUGAUUGUGGUCUUUUGCUUGGGUAAAAUAUAGCUCUUGUGUUUGUGUUAGUUACA